Molecule: unclassified non-coding RNA, 385 nt
Filed under: soil metagenome
Description: partial contains 5.8S ribosomal RNA, internal transcribed spacer 2, and large subunit ribosomal RNA
Rfam family: 5.8S ribosomal RNA (bases 1-120)
Source: RNAcentral
GAUGAAGAACGUAGCGAAAUGCGAUAAGUAAUGUGAAUUGCAGAAUUCAGUGAAUCAUCGAAUCUUUGAACGCAUCUUGCGCUCCUUGGUAUUCCGAGGAGCAUGCCUGUUUGAGUGUCAUUAAAUUCUCAACUCUCCUAUACUUUGUUGUAAAGGAGGGCUUGGAUUGUGGAGGCUUGCUGGCCGCUUGAUGUGGUCAGCUCCUCUGAAAUGCAUUAGCAGAACUGUUUGCGAUCUGCCACAAGUGUGAUAAAUUAUCUACACUGGCGAGGGCAUUGCUCUCUGUGUUCAGCUUCUAAUCGUCUUCAGUGACAAUUUCUUGAAUGCUUGACCUCAAAUCAGGUAGGACUACCCGCUGAACUUAAGCAUAUCAAUAAGCGGAGGA